GCCCAUGUGGGGUAGCUUGGAUAUCCUCAAAGCCUGCGGAGCUUUGAACCCGGGUUCGAAUCCCGGCGUGGGC
RNAcentral lists this transfer RNA (73 nucleotides) under Candidatus Altarchaeales archaeon WOR_SM1_86-2. Its description in RNAcentral is "Candidatus Altiarchaeales archaeon WOR_SM1_86-2 tRNA-Arg". It matches the Rfam family "tRNA". Rfam says of the family: Transfer RNA (tRNA) molecules are approximately 80 nucleotides in length. Their secondary structure includes four short double-helical elements and three loops (D, anti-codon, and T loops). Lineage: Archaea; Nanobdellati; Candidatus Altarchaeota; Candidatus Altarchaeia; Candidatus Altarchaeales. The record is from RNAcentral.